RNAcentral lists this transfer RNA (68 nucleotides) under Homatula potanini. RNAcentral describes it as "tRNA-Ser". The record is from RNAcentral. Lineage: Eukaryota; Metazoa; Chordata; Actinopteri; Cypriniformes; Nemacheilidae.
GAGGAAGGCCAAGAGGCAAUAAGCACUGCUAAUUCUUACAUCCAUGGUUAGACUCCAUGGCUUCCUUA